AUUGAACGCUGGCGGCAUGCCUUACACAUGCAAGUCGAACGGCAGCACGGGAGCAAUCCUGGUGGCGAGUGGCGAACGGGUGAGUAAAGUAUCGGAACGUGCCCAGUCGUGGGGGAUAACGUAGCGAAAGUUACGCUAAUACCGCAUACGAUCUAUGGAUGAGAGCGGGGGAUCGCAAGACCUCGCGCGAUUGGAGCGGCCGAUAUCAGAUUAGGUAGUUGGUGGGGUAAAGGCGCACCAAGCCGACGAUCUGUAGCUGGUCUGAGAGGACGACCAGCCACACUGGGACUGAGGCACGGCCCAGACUCCUACGGGAGGCAGCAGUGUGGAAUGUUGGAAAAUGGGCGAAAGCCUGAUCCAGCCAUGCCGCGUGCAGGAUGAAGGCCCUCGGGUUGUAAACUGCUUUUGUACAGAACGAAAAGGUUUCUACUAAUACUAGGAGCUCAUGACGGUACUGUAAGAAUAAGCACCGGCUAACUACGUGCCAGCCGCCGCAGUAA
Molecule: ribosomal RNA, 500 nt
Filed under: uncultured bacterium
Lineage: Bacteria
Description: partial 16S ribosomal RNA
Rfam family: Bacterial small subunit ribosomal RNA
Source: RNAcentral